RNAcentral lists this ribosomal RNA (198 nucleotides) under uncultured bacterium. RNAcentral's name for it is "partial 16S ribosomal RNA". It matches the Rfam family "Bacterial small subunit ribosomal RNA", at positions 1303 to 1500 of the family's 1533-position model. The record is from RNAcentral.
GGCUGAAAUUCGCCUUCAUGAAGCUGGAAUUGCUAGUAAUGGCAGGUCAGCAUACUGCCGUGAAUACGUUCCCGGGCCUUGUACACACCGCCCGUCACACCAUGAGAGUUGGGAAUACCCGAAGCCUGUGAGCUAACUUAUAAGAGGCAGCAGUCGAAGGUAGAAUCAAUGAUUGGGGUGAAGUCGUAACAAGGUACC